Molecule: ribosomal RNA, 254 nt
Filed under: uncultured bacterium
Lineage: Bacteria
Description: partial 16S ribosomal RNA
Rfam family: Bacterial small subunit ribosomal RNA
Source: RNAcentral
GACAGAGACCCCAAGCGUUAUCCGGAAUUAUUGGGCGUAAAGGGUGCGUAGGUGGUGAUGUUAGUCAAGCGUUAAACCUCCCAGCUUAACUGGGAAAUCGCGCUCGAAACGGCAUCACUAGAGUGUAUGAGAGGCAUAUGGAACUCAUGGUGUAGGGGUGAAAUCCGUUGAUAUCAUGGGGAACACCAAAGGCGAAGGCAGUAUGCUGGCAUAUCACUGACACUCAUUGCACGAAAGCGUGGGGAGCGAACGGG